AUGAUUAAUUUUGAUUAUGCUCAUCCUUUUCCUAGGAGAUGCUGGUGCUAAAAGACUCACUCAACAGAAUUCCUUCAUUGCCUGUGUACAGUGCAUCACCCAAUUCAGUACUGGUGGUACCAACAGUGAAUGUUCCACACCCUUCAGUUGGGACUGUUCGGUCAGGAUAUUUUCACUUGCAGACUCCAUCUCAGCCAGAGACUCUCCCUGCAGGCGUGAUGGAAUAGCAGCCGUGUUGGAGAAGCUUCCAUGGCCAGGAACUGUGGCCAGCUUUGAGGAUCCGAGGGCCACCUCCAGUUAUCAGCCAGCAGAACCUGGUGCCUCCUCAGUCUUACAGCCAAACAAAAACGAACCUGCCAACCAUCUGGACUGACAGUGCUUGGCAGGAGGGACUUCCCAGUCGAGCACCCUGAGGAGACACAGCCCGCCCAGCACCUUGACUGGACCUGGCAGUGGGGGAUCCAGCUACGUGAACCCCAGACUCCCAUCCACGGAAAUAGUGUGUUCAUAGCCGUGUGCUGUUGUCGUGGGCACAAGUCAUCUGGGUGGCACUCGAGGUAAGGACGUUGAGGCUUUAGGGGUGAGUUAAGCUCGAGUGGCCUCCACAAGGAGAGGAACAAUUCUAGGUGGGAAGAGCCCACCUAAGGCACUGCCCGCCUCCUUUUUAUCCUUAGCUUUCAAUGUGUUGACGCAGU
This 695-nucleotide long non-coding RNA is filed under the name Dasypus novemcinctus (nine-banded armadillo). RNAcentral's name for it is "lncRNA (ENSDNOG00000051638.1)". Lineage: Eukaryota; Metazoa; Chordata; Mammalia; Cingulata; Dasypodidae. The record is from RNAcentral.